GGAUUACCUCAGUAACGGCGAGUGAAGCGGUAACAGCUCAAAUUUGAAAUCUGGCUCCUCGGGGCCCGAAUUGUAAUUUGUAGAAGAUGCUUUGGGUCUGGGCCUGGCCUAAGUUCCUUGGAACAGGACGUCGUAGAGGGUGAGAAUCCCGUAUGCGGCUGGCGCCCGUGCCCGUGUAAAGCUCUUUCAACGAGUCGAGUUGUUUGGGAAUGCAGCUCUAAAUGGGUGGUAAAUUUCAUCUAAAGCUAAAUAUUGGCCAGAGACCGAUAGCGCACAAGUAGAGUGAUCGAAAGAUGAAAAGCACUUUGGAAAGAGAGUUAAACAGUACGUGAAAUUGUUGAAAGGGAAGCGCUGGCAACCAGACUUGGGCGCUGUUGAUCCGCUAGGGUUCUCUCUAGGGCACUCGGCAGCGCGCAGGCCAGCAUCGGUUUGGGGGGUUGGAGAAUGGCUGGUGGAAUGUGGCUGUCUUCGGGCAGUGUUAUAGCCACCGGUGGCAUGCAGCCUCCCCGGACCGAGGACCGCGCUUCGGCUAGGAUGCUGGCGUAAUGGUUGUCAGCGAC
Molecule: ribosomal RNA, 560 nt
Filed under: Podosphaera delphinii
Lineage: Eukaryota; Fungi; Ascomycota; Leotiomycetes; Helotiales; Erysiphaceae
Description: partial large subunit ribosomal RNA
Rfam family: Eukaryotic large subunit ribosomal RNA
Source: RNAcentral